UGACCUACUCUUAUUAUUUGUUUGACAGUACAGUAGGAUCAGGAAGAAAUGAUACUGGCUGAUGAUACUGGAUGAACUGAUGAUAAGAAAACUGGAGGAACACAACUGAAGCAGAUAAUAAUAAUUAUGAUGAUACUGGAUGGGAAAGUGAUACUAUAUAGGAUCCACUAUAUAUAGCUAUACUGUGAUGAUACUGGAUGGAUGAAAACAAUGAUCAAGUGAAUAAUACAAUUUAAUGAUUGAUGGAUGGAUGGAUAGAUGAUUUGGUUGAUUCUGCUUAGACCGGAUACUGUGUGGCGAUGUCAACCAUUACCCAAGGCAGCUUGCUUCGAUAGAGAAGUACUAUAUCUAUAUGUUUGAAAUUAGGCGUAUACUUCAAGUUGAAGCAAGUUUUGUUGAGUACUGUAGCCAAAAUUGCCAUUCCUGUAAACAUGAUUUUGGGCUUUUACAUGGAGUAGCUAGUCUGUUACGGGUGGGACACAACUUCUAACUAUAUAAGUCUGUUCCAAUGUUAUUAAGCUAAGUGUAUGCAGAGUUUUGUAAGUGUAUUCUCUUUGCAACAAUUUGUCAGUUGACUUUUGUAGAUGGCACUACAUGUGAAUAUAUCAUAAAUAGUGUGUAAACAAUACAAAGACUUAGUUAAAACACUAUCUAUGGUUAAAUGUUCAGUCAUGUUUGCAUAUCUAUCAAUUCGUCUUUUACUCCAGGCCAGUGAUGACUUUUGUCUCUAUAUUCUCCUUGUCACUGUCACUGGUCUUCGCUGUCUUGAGUCCAAUUCAAUUUCCGGCUCUUUCGUUUCAGCAAUCUCUCUGCAAAUGGACCAGAAGUACACCCUGGUCCACAGCCACAGUAAUAAUGGCUGUAUCCCACUGCUGCUAACAUUUAGAAAUGCUUAAAAACUCACUAUUACGUGGCAAAUAACGGUAUACUAAAUAAGCUGGGUAGGUUAGCUGAGCUUCUCUACAGUGGGGUAAGCAUAUACAGUUGUCUGUUCAGGCAAUUCCUGAUUAAAAAAAUUUUUGACCUGUAAUAAUAGCAUAUUUUUCGUACCACACAGAAUACAAGUACGACUGAUUUGGACGAUGCUUAGAAUGUAUUGAGGAGGACAUCUGUUGGAUGUAAUACACAAAAUGUGGCUUAUUGUGUGCUCACAUCUCUCCAACUAGUACUAUUUUGUGGUUUUUUAUACAGCAUUUUCAACGAUGCAUUUCUCGACUCUCAAUGGAUCGACACGAAAAACAAUUACAUAUAAAUGUUCAUCAAUCCUAUAAGAUAGCACUGAACAUGUUCAAAUUCAUCUCAUACUUUUGCAACAAUUUGUCAGUUCAGUUUGCUGUGGCAUGUAAAUUUGUCUAAAUUUG
Molecule: long non-coding RNA, 1361 nt
Organism: Halichondria panicea
Lineage: Eukaryota; Metazoa; Porifera; Demospongiae; Suberitida; Halichondriidae
Exons: 2
Source: RefSeq, a predicted model, not a curated record